UGGGGAGUGGUGUAAUCGGCAGCACUGGACACUUUGGAUGUCCCAGCCCAGGUUCGAACCCUGGCUCCCCAG
RNAcentral lists this transfer RNA (72 nucleotides) under Acidobacteriota bacterium. Its description in RNAcentral is "tRNA-Gln". It matches the Rfam family "tRNA". From Rfam's summary of the family: Transfer RNA (tRNA) molecules are approximately 80 nucleotides in length. Their secondary structure includes four short double-helical elements and three loops (D, anti-codon, and T loops). Further hydrogen bonds mediate the characteristic L-shaped molecular structure. tRNAs have two regions of fundamental functional importance: the anti-codon, which is responsible for specific mRNA codon recognition, and the 3' end, to which the tRNAs corresponding amino acid is attached (by aminoacyl-tRNA synthetases). tRNAs cope with the degeneracy of the genetic code in two manners: having more than one tRNA (with a specific anti-codon) for a particular amino acid; and 'wobble' base-pairing, i.e. permitting non-standard base-pairing at the 3rd anti-codon position. The record is from RNAcentral. Lineage: Bacteria; Pseudomonadati; Acidobacteriota.